Molecule: long non-coding RNA, 431 nt
Filed under: Mytilus galloprovincialis (Mediterranean mussel)
Lineage: Eukaryota; Metazoa; Mollusca; Bivalvia; Mytilida; Mytilidae
Source: RNAcentral
UUGAGGAUAUGUUUUAGUAAAUAUCAUUUAAGUUAUUAUAUUUAUUUUCAUUUAAAAAUUCCUUUUCUUAAUUGUUCACUUAUUUUUCAUAUAAAAAAGAAAUGAAACUCAUCAUCAAGUACAUCACAAUGUGUUCAUAGUCUUAAAUUUAUUGCAAUCUCUAAGACUUUUAUAUCUUCUAUUACGGUAUUGGUGUUUCUCACCGCUAAAGGGCAUAGGACAGUGAGUUAUAGUUGCUUAACCAUGUAAAAUCCACUUCACUUUGUAAGAUAGUAGUCUCAUUGGUAAUAAUAUCCUAUCUUUUUGAAGUGGCAAAGCAGGAUUGGUCAUGUUAGUCAAAGAUUCUUGUUAACAAAUCGGUCAUCUGUGUCAAUAUCGCGAUAUUAAAAAUAUUGAACGGAUGUUACCUAAAACCCGAGUCAUUACUUGCU